Meriones unguiculatus (Mongolian gerbil) is the source of this 7251-nucleotide long non-coding RNA. RefSeq lists it as uncharacterized. The record is from RefSeq and is a predicted model, not a curated record. Lineage: Eukaryota; Metazoa; Chordata; Mammalia; Rodentia; Muridae. The transcript is spliced from 3 exons.
GUUUGCCAAGAGGGAAACCAAGGCUCAAGAGAUGCGGUGACCUUCAAGGUUACGUCAUUCGCUUGGAAAGAAGCGAUUUCCUCAGCCACAUGCUUACUAUGUACCUCUGGACUUGAGAGACCAAAAGAUCGAAACACCUGAGCCUUGACCCACCAACCAACAUCUGGGCGGGCACACGAGCGACCUGGGCGAGGAGAGGUGGACUGGGGCAUCGAGAGAAACGUGUAAACAAAUCUAGUGAUCGAGAGGAAGGUUCACCUUCCUUCCCGAGAUUGCUGGCCCUCCCCCACCGUCAGCCCGGCCCGGCCAUGAGGCCUGAACGGAAGGACACACUCUGCCUCCUCUCUCUCUUCAAUACAAGCCGCGGGCUCAACCGAGGCGGAAGCAGAGACGCGGGUCUCAAGUAGCCCAGGCUAACCCUAAGCUCCAUGUUGAGGGAAGGAUAUCCUUGAACUCCCGAUCCUGCUGCCUCCCAAACGCCGAGUUUACAGGCAUGAAGGAUCCACAUUGGUUCUUUGUCCACCCCUUGUCCCAACUUCUGGUCGCUCAAAAGAACCUGCCCUCCCUGAGGUCGGCCUGCCCCAGCAACACCCCUCACGUGACUCAAGUUACUGGCUUGCACCGUCCAAGGCAAAUCUGCAGCCUGGAGAGGUUGUGCGAGAGCGCUCAGGCGUGAGAUUCUCACCCAUGAGGUUGGCAAGGCGGGACGAGAACCUUGACCGACCUUAGAAACGCCCAAGCCCUGGCUAGAGCUGCAAGCCGGGAGGCCUGAGGAGGUGGUGGCUACUGGCCCAGUUCACCGAGUGAGCCACACUGAGUCCAGUGGGCCCUGGAGGCAGCAUGUGGCCAUCAUACAGACGAAAAGGCCCAAGCCACCCCUUUGCACCGGAGAGGGCUGGCAAUGGCAGCAGCAGAUGGUGGUGAAAAACUGGUGUCGAUCCUGCCUGGCGGCUAGGAGCUACUUAGGAGGCUGAGUUUAGCUGGGCAGGCCCAGGGGCGGGCAGGAGCCGGGAACCCUCCCCCAAGGCCCGUGGAAACAUGGAGCCCAAAGCCAGGACCCCAUCAGCACCUCUCUGUCCAAGGGCCACAUUGUCACCGUCUGGUGGAACCUUCCAGAGGCGAAGUGCCGGACUUCUGUCCAGCUACUGACUUCUGUCCCACUCUCCUGAGAGAAAUCCAAAUUCCAGGCCCAGGGAGGACCAGGGAACCUAAGGGAAGGAAGGGGUGGCAAAGUCACAGGGAAAUGGAGAAAAGUGGGCCCAGUCAUGCCCUGUGAUGACGCGGGAACAGCAGCCUCAAUUAUUUAUUUAUUUAUCUAUUUAUUCUGGUUUUUUUUGAGACAAUAUCUCACUAUGUAGCUCUGGCUACCCUAGAAUCCACUAAAUACACCAGGCUGGCCUCAAACUCACAGAGAUCCAUCCAUCUCUGUCUCCCAAGUGCUGGAGUUGAAGGGUGGGCCAGCAGCUUUGAUUUUAAGUAACACACGAUGCGAUGCGUUCUUUAGUUAGUGAAGGAAACCCUAAGUCUCAGAUGAGAUGGGGGGAUGGGGCAGAGCAAGCGAGCCGACCAGAGACAAUGCAGCGACUGAUAGUCCGGGUGAUUGGUGUAUUGACGCUGGUCACCUCGUUCUUUUUGCUUGUUUGUUUUUUUGAGACAGGCUUUCUCUGUGUAGCCCUGGGUCAUUCUGGACUCACUCUGUGGACCAGACUGACCUCGGAACUCAAAAGUUAUCCCUGCCUCUGCCUGCCUUCACCACCAUGGCCUGGCUCAUUGCCUCAUUCUUAACAACCUCUCUGAAGUUCUUGAAAGGUACCUAGGAUCAGAACCAGUUAGUAGAGAGCUGCUUUUGUUUAUUUUUAUCUUAUUUUAUUUUGAGAGAGAGAAAGGAUCUCACUGUGUAGACCAGGCUAGCCUAGAAGUCACUAUGCAGACCGGGCUGGCCUUGAACUCUCCGAGCUCCAUCUGCCUCUGCCUCCUGAGUGCUGGAAUUAAAGGCGUGCUCCACCAUGCUCAGCCUCCAAGGAUGGUUUAGUUUUGAAAUUUAAGGCAAAUGUUCAUCUAAGGCUGUAGCUCAGUGUGGGAGCACAAGACCCUGGGUUCAAUCCUCAGCACCAUCAAACAAACACACAGUGUAAUUACCCAUCUCAGACCCACUGCCAACAUGCUUUCCUGUUGGUGGCCCGAGCAGGGGUGGUGUGUGGCUGAGUCCCCAGUACUUCAUUUGCGACACCCUACCCUGAAUGCGUCCUGCAGAGACGUGUCCCCCAGAAGCCCUUCCGGAACUGGCCUCCAUUCCGGCUUCCAGAGAGCCGACUGCUGAAGCAUGGAUUUAGGAGUGUCUGUUUGCAUGAGUCACUUUAGGGACUCAUAGUAACUCUCAGCGUUCUAAAAGUCUAAACCCUGACUCAGCCAAGCCACUUGGUUCCCCCUAGCCAACCGAUUUCACAAGGACAAAAUGGUAGACAGGCUGUCCUCGGUUGGAGCGGAGCCUUGUUUGCAGCAGCGGAAACUGACCUUACGGAAAUGCUAAGUUCACGACAGGCCUGUGAUCCACCUCACACUCCCUGAAAGAGUCAGAGAUCUGCAUCCUGACGUAAAACAAUAUCAAAGGCAAAACGUUCGGGCUGGGAACAUGGCUCCAUGGUAGGGAGCUUGCUUGCCCAGCACCUGCGAGGUCCCAGGUUCCAUCCCCAGCAUCGGAAACCUGAAAGUCGGACAAGCAGGAUACUGGACACUUGCACUUAGCAGGAACGCCACUGCCCCCUAGGGGACAUUUUUUAAAUAUACGAGGCCAGUGCCGCUGUGGAUCUUCAAAAGUAAUCGGAGUUUUGAAAUGUCCUGUAGUGAGUAGAACAUUCUGAUACAACAUGAAAUUUCAACAACAGCACAAAGAAAAAGAAAACUCCACAUCUCUGUUUUCCUAGGAAAUCACAUGCAUGAGAACAGUGUCCCACAAUACGAAUGAUGCCUGACAGUAUUGGCCGGCCCAAAGAUGAGGUGGAGGGGGUGGCUAGAUGGUGCCUGCACUGGGUACCGAGACAUGGACCACCCCCAGGGGAAAUCCUGCGUGGUCUGGGACGGAGUCCCUCCUUGCUGUAUUGGUGGUUGUGGAGGGCCGUGGGACGCAGCUACAGACAAAGCCAGCCUGAGAGACAGUCCCAGAUGCUCCAGGUAACUCGGAAGCCUCCAGCACCUGGAUGCAAAUGGCCGCUUGCUAAAGCAACACACCUGUGGCCAAGCUUGAUGAGCUGAGUUGGAUCACCAGGACUCGCACUGUGGCGUGGGCAGUUGCUUGUUAAGCUGUUUUGUUAUGUUUUCACCUGGGGAAGUAGUUCUUGAAAAGAGGUUAGGUGGAUCCACACCUUUUUCUGUUUGUAUUGAUGUCACUUGCUUGCCUAUAAAUAAUGAACCCUGGAAUACACCCACACUGCUUCAGUCAGACUGACAGCCCUCUCAAGCCAAUCCCAUGUGAAGUAUGAUUUGUCCUCACUUCCCCACUCGGGUACUGUUGGACUCUGCCAGCAGGUCUGGCAGGUUGGCGCCCAAACAGGGACCUGGGAUACGGGGGAAGCAGUGAAGGACAGCGCAGUGUUGAUGAGUCCGGAUCGUAAAGAGGCGUGGUGGGAAAAAUUGAGAGUAAAAAAGGGACAAGGAAGUAGUGUCAUGUUUUUUUUUGUUUGUUUGUUUGUUUGUUUGUUUUUUUUGCGUGGUCUUUAAUUAGAGACAUUCUGUUUCUGUAGUUCGAGACAAAGAAAGUGAAACUUUCAGGGUCAGAAAGAAAGAGGAAAAACAAACAGUAGGCUUCGAGACAAAAUAAGAUUAAAUAAACCAUCGGCUCCUCCUGAAGAGUUCUAUGUCUCUUCUGAUGAUGAUAAUUCUUUGUUAGAAGAAGACUAAGGAUGACUUAGAUCCUGAUGAAGUUGCAGAGCUGGAGGAUUCUGAGAGAUAUCCUCCCAUUCAGGCUAUGAGUGUUAAAAAACUUGAGCCUUGGCAAAAGGAAGUUAAGAAGUUGGAAUGACGCUUGGAGGAAAUAAACAGGAAAUUGAAUUAAGGAUUGGGGAAAACGAGGCUCAAUUCCCCCACUCCAACUCCCUCAUUGAUUACAGGCUUGGAUCCUCCUCCUGGGAUGGCUACAGUUGCUAUAGCUCAAAACAGGAGUGGGCCUUGUCCUUUGCCCACUGCCCAAGCAACUGUAUCCCCAUGACAAGCAUCUUUACAACAAGCUGUGCAGAAAGAAGAUAUAACUGAGUUUUAUGGUUUUCCAGUUUUAGAACAACCUGACAGUCAGGGUAAUAGGGUGAGAGUCCAUGCUCCUAUUCCUUUUAAACAACUAAAAUAAUUAAAAACUGCAUGGUCUCAAUAUGGUCCUACAGCACCUUCUACUCAAGCUCUGUGAAAAUCUUUGUCUACUGAGGCCCUCUGCCCAGAGGCUGAAAGCAAUUAACAAGAGCAUGCUUAUCAGGAGGAGAUUAUUUAAUACGGAAAUCAGAUUCUGCAAAGCACUGUCAAGUUACAGCUGAACUCAAUCAAGCUCAGGGAGUUCCUAUAAUUUAUGACAUGCUUGCUGGGGAAGGAACCUAUAGGGAAACAGGAAAGCAAUUGGAUUUUGAUGUGGCAGUUUAUGCUCAAGUGAAUGCUGCUGCCCGAAAGGCCUGGAAUAAACAGGUAGACAGGUGGAGCAUUUGUCUAAAAUCUGUCAGGGACCUGAUGAGUUAUUUCAAGAUUUUGUGGCAAGAUUAAUGCAAGCAGCAAGCAGACUUAUAAGCGAUGAAAAUGCUGGAUUAUUACUGGUAAAACAAUUGGCUUAUGAGAAUGCUAUCAGUGCCUGCCAAGCAGCUUUGAGACCCUUUAGGAAGAAAGGAGAUAUUUCUGAUUAUAUUAGGCUAUGUUCUGACAUUGGGCCAUUUUAUACUCAAGGAGUAGCUAUGGCUGCCACCCUACAAGGGAAGACUAUUAAAGAGGCGUUAUUUCAGCAAUAGAAAGGCCCAAAGAAUGGAGUAUUGGAAGUUGUUAUGGCUGUGGGCAAGUGGGACAUCAAAGAAGAAAUUGUCCUAAUAAUGCUGGUAAGAAAGGAGGAAAUCAAAAGAAACCUGGUCUAUGCCCAAGAUGUAAAGGAGGAAAGCAUUGGGUUAAUGAAUGUAGGUCUAAAAGAGAUGCUUCAGGAUACCCUUUAAUGCAGGAAAACAGGAGGAGAGUCCAGCCCCGGGCCCCCGCACGAUAUUAUGGGGCGCUACAGAACUUUGUCCCCUCAGCCAAAAAAUCCAUUCAGGACCUCAGUAGAGCAACCAAAGGUAGCGCAGGACUGGACCUCAGUUCCUCAGCCUACACAGUAUUAACUCCUGAAAUGGGGAUGCAGGCCCUACCUACAGGAGUUUAUGGCCCGUUACCUAGGGGGACUGUAGGAUUAUUACUAGGAAGAAGUAGUACUACAAUGCAGGGAAUUUUAGUAGCUCCUGGGGUAAUUGAUGCUGAUUUUGAAGGGGAGAUAAAAAUUAUGACACAUUCUCCAAAUGGAAUUUCUGUAAUAAAGCAAGGUCAAAGAUUAGCUCAAUUAAUAUUGCUCCCUCAAGUUCAGACAAAAAAAUGCAAGUAAGAAGGAUGGGAAAGGAGAUGCAGGUUUUGGAUUCUCUGAUACUAAUUGGUUACAAGCUAUCGGUCCCAAUUGACCUGAACUGGUGUUACAAAUUAAUGGAAGAAAAUCUAUAGGGUUAGUGGAUACAGGAGCUGAUGUCUCUGUUUUAACUGCUGAUCAGUGGCCUAGGCAUUGGCCUAAACAAUCCUCUAUAACACAAUUGUGAGUAAUAGGACAAAGCCAGUGUCCUAAAUGAAGUAGUGAGGAGUUAACUUGGAAGGAUGAAGGACACGAGAGAACUUUUAAACCAUACAUUGUUCCUGGCCUUCCUGUUCAUCUGUGGGGUAGAGAUGUGAUCAGUAGCAUGGGAGUGCAGCUUUACAGUCCUAGUAAUGUAGUCACCAACCAGAUGCUUAAUCAAGGAUAUUUCCAAAGAUGAUGAUGCCCAAGUGAAAUGGAAAGAUCCGAUUACUGGAAGAUAGCAGGGCCCUGGCCCUGUGUUAGUAUGGGGAAGAGGGCAUGUCUGUGUUUUCCCGCAGGACGCAGAAGGAGCCAGACGGAUCCCAGAAAGUCUGGUGCAAUUUGCAGGAAAUGCUCCCCGGAAGGAGGAUGUCGCUGCUGCGGAAAGUCCUGAUGGUGAAAGGACGGUGACCUUAGCUCCUGAUUCACCUUUGUUUCAUUCUACUCAAGGGAGAAGAAAUUGUGCAGAUAAACUUUUUAGAUACAAUGGGACUGGACUUGAUUUGUCUGAUAAUUAGGACAAUUCUCAACAAAAUCGGGAAGAAUGAGAAAGAGGACUAUGGGACUUUGGUCUGAUUCUGGUUUUCGGCAGACCAACACAAGCUUGCUGCAGAAUGCCUAUGUAUGUUUUCCUUACUUUGUUGUUUGUAAUGCUAACAUUUUUAUACAAAUCCAAACUUUAAUGUUUCUUGCCAUUAAUGUAAGCCAACAAACUGUAUUUCUAAGCUUUCAAAUGGACAGCAAGUUCUGGUUGUUAGAUAGCCUUCUCUUAUGGUUCCUGUGCGUGUUUCUCAGGCUUGAUAUUCUGAUAAGGGAUUAUGAAUGCUAGAAACAGACCGAAAAGAAGGGUUGGAUUAAUUAUUGCAGGUAUUAUGGUCCUCCUGGCCAUCUUUUAUAGGACUUAGCUCAUUACUCAUGUUAGGACUGUCUCCUGCAAGGGAUAAUUAAAACCUUCAUCAAGCCCUUCUGGAAUGUUAAAGCUGAUCUGCGUAAGAUUAAACUCCAGUGUUUACCCUAGCGGAGGUUGGUAGUCAGAGAGGGGAAGAUUUCUCUGAGGUAUAUUCAACCUAAGACAGGCAUGAAUGCUGGAAUUCAUGUACCAAUGAUGGGUAAGACUAUAUCUUUCAAGAGAGACAACCUAAGACAGGCACAAUCUUCUGCUCCAUAGCUCUUAAGCUAUGGUCUUUUAAAGUUAAAAAAGGGAGACCUGUGGAGAGCUGUGGGAUGCAGCUACAGACAAAGCCAGCCUGAGAGACAGUCCCGGAUGCUCCAGGUAACUCGGAAGCCUCCGGCACCUGGAUGCAAAUGGCCGCUUGCUAAAGCAACACACCUGUGACCAAGUAGUUUUUGAAAAAAGAUUAGGUGGUUCCACACCUUUUUCUGUUUGUAUUGAUGUCACUUGCCUAUAAAUAAUGAACCCUGGAAUAAACCCGGGCUGC